UGGGGAAUAUUGGACAAUGGGGGAGACCCUGAUCCAGCCAUGCCGCGUGUGUGAAGAAGGCCUUAUGGUUGUAAAGCACUUUAAGCGAGGAGGAGGCUACUUUAGUUAAUACCUAGAGAUAGUGGACGUUACUCGCAGAAUAAGCACCGGCUAACUCUGUGCCAGCAGCCGCGGUAAUACAGAGGGUGCGAGCGUUAAUCGGAUUUACUGGGCGUAAAGCGUGCGUAGGCGGCUUAUUAAGUCGGAUGUGAAAUCCCCGAGCUAACUUGGGAAUUGCAUUCGAUACUGGUGAGCUAGAGUAUGGGAGAGGAUGGUAGAAUUCCAGGUGUAGCGGUGAAAUGCGUAGAGAUCUGGAGGAAUACCGAUGGCGAAGGCAGCCAUCUGGCCUAAUACUGACGCUGAGGUACGAAAGCAUGGGGGAGCAAACAGGAUUAGAUACCC
Molecule: ribosomal RNA, 441 nt
Filed under: uncultured bacterium
Lineage: Bacteria
Description: bacterial SSU rRNA
Rfam family: Bacterial small subunit ribosomal RNA
Source: RNAcentral